CCUACGGGAGGCAGCAGUGAGGAAUAUUGGUCAAUGGGCGAGAGCCUGAACCAGCCAAGUCGCGUGAAGGAUGAAGGAUCUAUGGUUUGUAAACUCCUUUUAUAUGGGAAUAAAGUGAGGAACGUGUUCCUUUUUGUAUGUACCAUAUGAAUAAGCAUCGGCUAACUCCGUGCCAGCAGCCGCGGUAAUACGGAGGAUGCGAGCGUUAUCCGGAUUUAUUGGGUUUAAAGGGUGCGUAGGUGGUUAAUUAAGUCAGCGGUGAAAGUUUGUGGCUCAACCAUAAAAUUGCCGUUGAAACUGGUUGACUUGAGUAUAUUUGAGGUAAGCGGAAUGCGUGGUGUAGCGGUGAAAUGCAUAGAUAUCACGCAGAACUCCGAUUGCGAAGGCAGCUUACUAAACUAUAACUGACACUGAAGCACGAAAGCGUGGGGAGCAAACAGGAUUAGAUACCCGAGUAGUC
RNAcentral lists this ribosomal RNA (460 nucleotides) under uncultured bacterium. RNAcentral's name for it is "partial 16S ribosomal RNA". It matches the Rfam family "Bacterial small subunit ribosomal RNA", at positions 338 to 795 of the family's 1533-position model. The record is from RNAcentral.